This is a long non-coding RNA of Syngnathus typhle (broad-nosed pipefish), 291 nucleotides long. RefSeq lists it as uncharacterized. The record is from RefSeq and is a predicted model, not a curated record. Lineage: Eukaryota; Metazoa; Chordata; Actinopteri; Syngnathiformes; Syngnathidae. The transcript is spliced from 2 exons.
GGUGGGUCUUUGUUUAUGAAAAGGCUUACCAAGUGCGAGACACAGCAAUUGAAUCUUCAGUAAUGACCAAGGUAAAAGGUUUUGGAGUCUACAAUGACAAAGUCAUGGAUGUUGCAGACUACGUCAUGCCAACACAGGGUGCUUCUGUCUUCUGCAUCAUUACCAAACUCAUAACAACAGAAAACCAAGUUCAAGGAUACUGUCCAGAGGUCAGACCCUGUCAAUACUAUUGAUCUUUCUAUAAUAUUUGAACUGGUUGAAAUUAAUAAAUGGAUAAUUUGUCCAGUGGAA